RNAcentral lists this ribosomal RNA (253 nucleotides) under uncultured bacterium. RNAcentral's name for it is "partial 16S ribosomal RNA". It matches the Rfam family "Bacterial small subunit ribosomal RNA", at positions 524 to 776 of the family's 1533-position model. The record is from RNAcentral.
UACAGAGGUCUCAAGCGUUGUUCGGAUUCAUUGGGCGUAAAGGGUGUGUAGGUGGCGCCGUAAGUCGGGUGUGAAAUUUCGGAGCUUAACUCCGAAACUGCAUUCGAUACUGCGGUGCUUGAGGACUGGAGAGGAGACUGGAAUUCAUGGUGUAGCAGUGAAAUGCGUAGAGAUCAUGAGGAAGACCGGUGGCGAAGGCAGGUCUCUGGACAGUCCCUGACGCUGAGGCACGAAGGCGAGGGGAGCAAACAGG